RNAcentral lists this ribosomal RNA (263 nucleotides) under uncultured archaeon. RNAcentral describes it as "partial 16S ribosomal RNA". It matches the Rfam family "Archaeal small subunit ribosomal RNA", at positions 718 to 982 of the family's 1478-position model. The record is from RNAcentral.
AGUCACUGACAUUAGAUACCCCCGUAGUCCAGGGUGUAAACGCUGCAGACUUGGUGUUGGAGGCCCUUUGGGGGCAUUCAGUGCCGGAGAGAAGUUGUUAAGUCUGCUACUUGGGAGUACGUCCGCAAGGAUGAAACUUAAAGGAAUUGGCGGGGGAGCACCGCAACGGGAGGAGCGUGCGGUUUAAUUGGAUUCAACACCGUAAACUCACCAGGGAAGACUGUUACAUGAAGGCCGAGCUAAAGACUCUGCUAGAUUUUCAG